Molecule: long non-coding RNA, 1229 nt
Filed under: Gadus morhua (Atlantic cod)
Lineage: Eukaryota; Metazoa; Chordata; Actinopteri; Gadiformes; Gadidae
Description: lncRNA (ENSGMOG00000028262.1)
Source: RNAcentral
UACCGCGCCAAUCUAGGUCCGGAUUGUGGCCUUCUUGGCUUUCCAUAGGCGAUUUCACCUUCUAAUCUCAAAUUUCCUGUGUCAAACCGAGGGGGUCAAAUCCCCCGUUCGUCACGGCGCGGGGUUUCUUGGUUCACUGGGGAAGGCGGGGCUGUGCACUAUGGAGGACUAAAAGUGCCACAAUUAAAUAAAUAAAUACACCAUUAAAUAAAUAAAUACACCAUUAAAUAAUUCCUUAAAUGUGUCAUUAAUUAAUUAAAAUUGGAAUUAAAUACAUAAAUGUUUUAUUAAAUGUGUCAUUAAUUCAUUAAUUAAAUACUAUUUAAUUAAUUUACAUUUACAUUUCAUGAUUUACAUUUACAUUUCAUGAUUUACAUUUACAUUUCAGGAUUUACAUUUACAUUUCAUGAUCCUGUGUUGCAGUGCUUCAUGAAAUGUCAAACUGUCAAACUCGCCCAUCAAAGUUGGUAGGCGGAUCCUAACGCCUGAUUGGUUACCCUGCGCAUCAAGUCAAGGCAAAUCAAUUCCAGAUAAUGCAUUGACGCAGAGCGAGUGAACACAUUCGGUUUACAAAAUGUCUAAAAGCUGCCCGGAGCUGCUGCGAGAAGCCGCUAAUUUAAUAGAAGAGGCUCUGAGCAGAACUCCUCCGGCUCCGACGGCUCAGUCACAGCAGACACCUGCUGCUCCAUUACGUACACCCGUCCAAGCUGAGGUAGCAAGGCUCUUUGCGCCGUAUAACGGCGGAGCCAGAAGAAAUGUCACGAGACGACCAGCUCAAGUCCAAGUGAGUCGAAGAAGCUAUACACACACUGUGUGUUGUUUGGCUGACCACAAGGCGGAUAAAGUCCCAAGCGUACAGCUUAAAGCGGACCUUCAUACUUCAGGACUUGGAGAGCACAAAGUGACAUUUUCAGGGAAUGACAGCGAUCCCAUGGUCAUAACAAACAAGUUGAUGGAAGUAUUUCCGAAGCUCCAAGAAGGGGGAGGCUUCGAAUUUUUAAAAAUUGCAGGAUCUACACGGAGUCGAAAUCUGGCAUUGCUUCAGUGUCCCAGCACUGGAUACACGCUUGCCUAUCUAAAGGAUCCAGCUUCGAUGAUUGGACAGGCUACAAUCUUCAUUCGUCCGCUUCAACAGGAUCUACCCUUCGAUUGUGUACAUACAUUUACAGAGACCUAGUUCAAUACAUAAUCAAAACAAAGCUUACUGGUGACUUUCAAUCAUUAAUUAA